RNAcentral lists this transfer RNA (88 nucleotides) under Methanomethylicia archaeon. Its description in RNAcentral is "Candidatus Methanomethylicia archaeon tRNA-Leu". It matches the Rfam family "tRNA". Rfam says of the family: Transfer RNA (tRNA) molecules are approximately 80 nucleotides in length. Their secondary structure includes four short double-helical elements and three loops (D, anti-codon, and T loops). The record is from RNAcentral. Lineage: Archaea; Thermoproteati; Thermoproteota; Methanosuratincolia.
GCGGGGGUGGCCGAGUCAGGUCAAAGGCGCAGGGCUUAGGACCCUGUGGGGCAGCCCUGCGUGGGUUCAAAUCCCACCCCCCGCACCA